GAUGAACGCUGACAGAAUGCUUAACACAUGCAAGUCAACUUGAAUUUGGGUUUUUAACUUAGAUUUGGGUGGCGGACGGGUGAGUAACGCGUAAAGAACUUGCCUCACAGCUAGGGACAACAUUUAGAAAUGAAUGCUAAUACCUGAUAUUAUGAUUUUAAGGCAUCUUAGAAUUAUGAAAGCUAUAUGCACUGUGAGAGAGCUUUGCGUCCCAUUAGUUAGUUGGAGAGGUAACAGCUCACCAAGGCGAUGAUGGGUAGCCGGCCUGAGAGGGUGAACGGCCACAAGGGGACUGAGACACGGCCCUUACUCCUACGGGAGGCAGCAGUGGGGAAUAUUGGACAAUGGACCGAGAGUCUGAUCCAGCAAUUCUGUGUGCACGAUGAAGUUUUUCGGAAUGUAAAGUGCUUUCAGUUGGGAAGAAAUAAAUGACGGUACCAACAGAAGAAGUGACGGCUAAAUACGUGCCAGCAGCCGCGGUAAUACGUAUGUCACGAGCGUUAUCCGGAUUUAUUGGGCGUAAAGCGCGUCUAGGUGGUUAUGUAAGUCUGAUGUGAAAAUGCAGGGCUCAACUCUGUAUUGCGUUGGAAACUGUAUAACUAGAGUACUGGAGAGGUAAGCGGAACUACAAGUGUAGAGGUGAAAUUCGUAGAUAUUUGUAGGAAUGCCGAUGGGGAAGCCAGCUUACUGGACAGAUACUGACGCUAAAGCGCGAAAGCGUGGGUAGCAAACAGG
This 735-nucleotide ribosomal RNA is filed under the name uncultured Fusobacterium sp. RNAcentral's name for it is "bacterial SSU rRNA". It matches the Rfam family "Bacterial small subunit ribosomal RNA", at positions 28 to 776 of the family's 1533-position model. Lineage: Bacteria; Fusobacteriati; Fusobacteriota; Fusobacteriia; Fusobacteriales; Fusobacteriaceae. The record is from RNAcentral.